Molecule: ribosomal RNA, 252 nt
Filed under: uncultured bacterium
Lineage: Bacteria
Description: partial 16S ribosomal RNA
Rfam family: Bacterial small subunit ribosomal RNA
Source: RNAcentral
UACGUAGGGGGCAAGCGUUGUCCGGAAUCAUUGGGCGUAAAGCGCGUGUAGGCGGCUCGAUAAGUCUGCUGUGAAAGUCCAGGCUCAACCCUGGGAUGCCGGUGGAUACUGUCGAGCUCGAGUCCGGAAGAGGUGUGUGGAAUUCCUGGUGUAGCGGUGAAAUGCGCAGAUAUCAGGAGGAACACCGGUGGCGAAGGCAGCUCGCUGGGACGGUACUGACGCUGAGGCGCGAAAGCGUGGGGAGCAAACAGG